Long non-coding RNA from Pomacea canaliculata, 3086 nucleotides. RefSeq lists it as uncharacterized. The record is from RefSeq and is a predicted model, not a curated record. NCBI's taxonomy places the organism in Eukaryota, Metazoa, Mollusca, Gastropoda, Architaenioglossa, Ampullariidae. The transcript has 2 exons.
CCGAGAGUAAUAUGAGUGGAAGGUUUGCGCUGACAACAAUGAAUUCUGUAUUGGAUAACAAUAACUUGAGGGUGUUUAUCAACGCAGAUCGUCACCACUGGGCCUUUCCUGCGAUCCUUUUAGUGAAUGUUGCCCUUGACUUGCUGUCCGUCACGUUUCGUUCAAUUCUCGCUCUAGCGUGUGUAGUAGUACAUCGGUAGCACAUCAGUAGCAUUUUGGAAGACUUAACAUGUACAUGCGGUUGCUGUCCUAUAACAUCCGUUGUUGUGAACUUUAUACAUCACUGUUAUACAUUUAAAAAAAUUAAUUAGAAAAUUUUGAGACUUUAACUGUUUCUAGACAGGUAUAUAUCCACAGCAGAGACUGGAAAACUGUUCAUAUUUUCUUUAAUCAACUAUCAGGAACACUUUUUUCUUUGCAUUUUAUUUAAGUAGUACUUUGUCUUUUCAGUAAAAUAAUUACAAAGCAAAUGUGACUGGCGACAUUUUAUGGAGGAAUUGCACAUCAAGUGUGUGAUUUAAUUAAGACUUGAGUCAGAACAAUGAGAGAAAUUAAAACGGUGGUGAAGUUUAGAAAGAAGCUAUAGAGACCAAUCUGGAUCCCUCCGUGCUGUUUUCCCUCUACUUCCAAGUGACAAACAACACAAAAUGCUGCCACGUCACACACAAUACACCAACAUAAGGCAACAUGCUUACAAUAGCUUUACAAUUUCCUGGACUUACUGCCACUGCUACCAUCAAUCUUUGAGCUUUGCUUUUUUAAUCAUGAAACUGCAUGGCACAUGGCAGUUGGCAAUAACCAUUCAAGCAAAAUGGUAUGACAAAUGUAAACAGACACAUUAAACAUCACAUGUCAGCUGAAUUUACUGAUCUUUCAAAAUAUUUUUAAUUUUUGUCUGUUAGAAAUUUUGACAAUUAUGUAAAACAUUACAAUUUUGGAGAGAUAUCUUCUGGGAAUGGGAAGUUUACAUAACGCUUCCCUGUUCCCUGCAAAGAAAAUAGUUAAUGCCUAAAAAAUAUAAAUCAUAUCAUGUCUAUAUCGCCUAUUUCUCAAGAAGAAAAUUUGUUUUCCCUAUCUCUACAGGCUGAACCCCUCAUUUCAUGGCAUACCCAAAAAGAUCGAACACAAGCAACAGAGUUGUAAUUAAAUGUUUUUCAUAAUUUGCCAGUUUCUUUGGUUGUUUUUGUCUUUCAGACACAUGAAUAGUACUCAGGUGGCAGUGACUCCCACCAACAGCUGCCUUCAUAAUCUCUGCUUCAAAUAACUGUGCAUACCCAAACCCCAACAACUUGUUAGAUUAUCUCUCUUUUUCUCUUAUCUAGAUACAUAGAAAUGAACAAUGUAAUUAGCAAUAAUAAAAAAAAAAUCUGUAAGCCUCUGGCUGCUGAGUUAAUUCUAAGAUCACAAAUACUUUAUUCAGAAUGUCUCCUUGUGUGCUCUUUAAGUAACCCUACAUUACUUUGAAUUUCAGAGCUUAAUGGAAAAAAAGGUCUUGAAGUGUUCAGCAUUCAAGGAACUCACUCAUUAUCUAUCUGAAGACAAAUAUUAUUUUACCAUGCACUAAAAAUUAAAACUGACCACAUCUAGUUAAGUAAAGGCUAGCCUGAGUGCAAAAUUCUUUUCAAGUGAGCUUACUUUAUUAUGAUACUAAUUCCCAAAUUUACCACAUUUCCCAUGUGAUAUUUUUGAAACAAACUAAUAAAGACUGCCCAUAUGUUCUUCUAGACUGCCGGUAACUAUGAACUUUAUUCACGUUGGGCUUAGGUUAGCCUUUAACAGAAGCCAAGUCUAUCAAGAUGGACAAACAGGAUUUGUUACUUUAGCCAAUCUGAGCACAACAUCAACAGAAAGGAAUGUUACUAAUUCCAAGAAAGGUAGUUAUAAUGGCAGCACAAUGUUAAAGCUAUUAAGUAGGCGUCAUGAAAGGUAAAAGCCACAAAAAAGAUAUUACAAAAUCAUUGCAUCAGGAAAGAUUCUUGUAAAAGCCACAAAAAAUUCAUUAGAGAUUCAUAUUUAUAGACCAAAGACCUGUGAAAGCAAUUUAACCAUAAAUCAAUAACUCUGUGAUAAAGUCUAUAUCAUCUUCAAUCACAUCUUCAUGAUACUCUGCAAAAGAUCUUUUUAAAUAUUUUAUGCAAAAAGCAUAAUUCACAUCACCAGGUUCACACUCUGCUUAUAAAUACAACCAAGGAACAUCUUAAAUCUGUGAAAAUAUAAUAAACUGUCAUAUUUGCAACAGUGAAAAUUGUGGGAACAUCUGGGCAUUUCUAAUAAUGUCACAUGCUUAGCAAUUGUUUAACUAUGAGCACUGCUAAGCGAUUUUAAACAUGUGCUGAAGAUAUCUGAACUCCACACACAGAGGUCAAAUAUUAACUAGGUAUAAAAUGUGAUCAAGUGUCAAAAUUACCAAUUGUUUAAUUUUUGAGCUUUUUUGGAAGAUUAUUUCAUGAAUGUUUAUCAAUAUCUUUGUUCCCUUAAGCUGAAAAUAAUUAUAUUGUUCAGCUACUUCAUACCAUUCAUUAGUGAAUCUUGCAGUACUAGUCAAGCAACCAUACCAUGAACUAAUUUAACAAAUAAUAAAACAAACUAAUCAAUACACGUCCAUGAUCAUAUUGUUUUUUGUCACACAUCCUCUAUUAUAAGAAUGUGCUAAAGUUUUUGGGAAAAAAUUUUCAAAUAUUGAUGUCUCAUUGCAAAAACUUUUUGACUAACUUAAUUACAGAGUAAAAGUUAUUAUUUAAAGAAAAAUCCGGGUUUCUACUUCAAAGUCAAAAUCCAGUUAUGAGUAUCUGGCUAGAAAAGUCCAUUUAACAAAUGAAAGUGGCCACUUGAAUGCUAUGUUUGCCACUAAAGGUACCUUCCAAACAAUGUCAUAAACAACAGGAUAACAGCAGCUCUGUCAUUCAUGACCACCACCACCCAGUGAAAGGUCACUAGCCUUUCAACAUGGUUUCCAUCCCAUCAACCACUGAAGUAAAGUUCAUUGUUAUGACUGCAAAAAAUAAUGAGUGAGAGAAAGAUAACCAAUAAUUACUUGAGAUAUAUAGCUUAAUGAACCCAUUUUAGUCAUAAACAUCUUCAAGAAU